RNAcentral lists this ribosomal RNA (790 nucleotides) under uncultured bacterium. RNAcentral describes it as "bacterial SSU rRNA". It matches the Rfam family "Bacterial small subunit ribosomal RNA", at positions 8 to 796 of the family's 1533-position model. The record is from RNAcentral.
AGAGUUUGAUCCUGGCUCAGAUUGAACGCUAGCGGCAUGCUUUACACAUGCAAGUCGAACGGCAGCGCGGGGCAACCUGGCGGCGAGUGGCGAACGGGUGAGUAAUACAUCGGAACGUGCCCUGUGAUGGGGGAUAACUACGCGAAAGCGUAGCUAAUACCGCAUACGACCCAAGGGUGAAAGUGGGGGAUCGCAAGACCUCACGUCAUAGGAGCGGCCGAUGGCGGAUUAGCUAGUUGGUGGGGUAAAGGCUUACCAAGGCGACGAUCCGUAGCUGGUCUGAGAGGACGACCAGCCACACUGGGACUGAGACACGGCCCAGACUCCUACGGGAGGCAGCAGUGGGGAAUCUUGGACAAUGGGCGCAAGCCUGAUCCAGCAAUGCCGCGUGUGGGAUGAAGGCCUUCGGGUUGUAAACCACUUUUGGCGGGGGCGAAAUAUCGAGUGCUAAUACCAUUCGGUGAUGACGGUACCCGCAGAAUAAGCACCGGCUAACUACGUGCCAGCAGCCGCGGUAAUACGUAGGGUGCAAGCGUUAAUCGGAAUUACUGGGCGUAAAGCGUGCGCAGGCGGUUAGGUAAGACAGAUGUGAAAUUCCCGGGCUCAACCUGGGAACUGCAUUUGUGACUGCCUGACUAGAGUGCGGCAGAGGGAAGUGGAAUUCCGCGUGUAGCAGUGAAAUGCGUAGAUAUGCGGAGGAACACCGAUGGCGAAGGCAACUCCCUGGGCCUGCACUGACGCUCAUGCACGAAAGCGUGGGAGCAAACAGGAUUAGAUACCCUGGUAGUCG